UGGGGAAUUUUGCACAAUGGGCGCAAGCCUGAUGCAGCCAUGCCGCGUGUAGGAAGAAGGCCUUCGGGUUGUAAAGUACUUUCAGCGGGGAGGAAGGGAGUAAAGUUAAGACCUUUGCUCAGGGACGCUACCCGCAGAAGAAGCACCGGCUAACUCCGGGGCAGCAGCCGCGGUAAUACGGAGGGUGCAAGCGUUAAGCGGAAUUACUGGGCGUAAAGAGCACGCAGGCGGUUUGUUAAGUCAGAUGUGAAAUCCCCGGGCUCAACCUGGGAACUGCAUCUGAUACUGCUAAGCUUGAGUGUGGUAGAGGGAGGUGGAAUUCCAGGUGUAGCGGUGAAAUGCGUAGAUAUCUGGAGGAAUACCGGUGGCGAAGGCGGCCCCCUGGUCCAAGACUGACGCUGAGGUGCGAAAGCGUGGGGAGCAAACAGG
RNAcentral lists this ribosomal RNA (429 nucleotides) under Chloroflexota bacterium. Its description in RNAcentral is "Chloroflexi bacterium partial 16S ribosomal RNA". It matches the Rfam family "Bacterial small subunit ribosomal RNA", at positions 355 to 776 of the family's 1533-position model. Lineage: Bacteria; Bacillati; Chloroflexota. The record is from RNAcentral.